UUCGGGGUGGAUUAGUGGCGAACGGGUGAGUAACACGUGGGCAAUCUGCCCUUCACUCUGGGACAAGCCCUGGAAACGGGGUCUAAUACCGGAUACCACUCCUGCCUGCAUGGGCGGGGGUUGAAAGCUCCGGCGGUGAAGGAUGAGCCCGCGGCCUAUCAGCUUGUUGGUGGGGUAAUGGCCCACCAAGGCGACGACGGGUAGCCGGCCUGAGAGGGCGACCGGCCACACUGGGACUGAGACACGGCCCAGACUCCUACGGGAGGCAGCAGUGGGGAAUAUUGCACAAUGGGCGAAAGCCUGAUGCAGCGACGCCGCGUGAGGGAUGACGGCCUUCGGGUUGUAAACCUCUUUCAGCAGGGAAGAAGCGAAAGUGACGGUACCUGCAGAAGAAGCGCCGGCUAACUACGUGCCAGCAGCCGCGGUAAUACGUAGGGCGCAAGCGUUGUCCGGAAUUAUUGGGCGUAAAGAGCUCGUAGGCGGCUUGUCACGUCGGAUGUGAAAGCCCGAGGCUUAACCUCGGGUCUGCAUUCGAUACGGGCUAGCUAGAGUGUGGUAGGGGAGAUCGGAAUUCCUGGUGUAGCGGUGAAAUGCGCAGAUAUCAGGAGGAACACCGGUGGCGAAGGCGG
Molecule: ribosomal RNA, 629 nt
Filed under: Streptomyces sp. YIM 78125
Lineage: Bacteria; Bacillati; Actinomycetota; Actinomycetes; Kitasatosporales; Streptomycetaceae
Description: bacterial SSU rRNA
Rfam family: Bacterial small subunit ribosomal RNA
Source: RNAcentral